CCCUUAGAUGUUCUGGGCCGCACGCGCGCUACACUGAUGCAUUCAACGAGUUUUUCCUGGUCCGAGAGGAAUGGGUAACCUUUUGAAAGUGCAUCGUGCUAGGGAUAGACUAUUGCAAUUAUUGGUCUUCAACGAGGAAUUCCUAGUAGACGUAGUUCAUCAGACUGCAUCGAUUACGUCCCUGCCCUUUGUACACACCGCCCGUCGCUCCUACCGAUUGGGUGAGCCGAUGAAACUCUCGGAUGUAGGCUAUUCAUAGCCCGCAGAAGAGAUUUGAAUCGUAGCGCUUAGAGGAAGGAGAAGUCGUAACA
This 311-nucleotide ribosomal RNA is filed under the name uncultured eukaryote. Its description in RNAcentral is "partial 18S ribosomal RNA". It matches the Rfam family "Eukaryotic small subunit ribosomal RNA", at positions 1470 to 1796 of the family's 1831-position model. The record is from RNAcentral.